CGGUGACGACCAGCUUGCUGGUCUGAUCAGUGGCGAACGGGUGAGUAACACGUGAGCAACCUGCCCUUCACUCUGGGAUAAGCCUUGGAAACGAGGUCUAAUACCGGAUAUGAGACGCACCGGCAUCGGUAGCGUCUGGAAAGAUUUAUCGGUGAGGGAUGGGCUCGCGGCCUAUCAGCUUGUUGGUGGGGUGAUGGCCUACCAAGGCGACGACGGGUAGCCGGCCUGAGAGGGCGACCGGCCACACUGGGACUGAGACACGGCCCAGACUCCUACGGGAGGCAGCAGUGGGGAAUAUUGCACAAUGGGCGAAAGCCUGAUGCAGCGACGCCGCGUGAGGGAUGACGGCCUUCGGGUUGUAAACCUCUUUCAGCAGGGAAGAAGCGCAAGUGACGGUACCUGCAGAAGAAGCGCCGGCUAACUACGUGCCAGCAGCCGCGGUAAUACGUAGGGCGCAAGCGUUGUCCGGAAUUAUUGGGCGUAAAGAGCUCGUAGGCGGUUUGUCGCGUCUGCUGUGAAAUCCUCAGGCUCAACCUGGGGCUUGCAGUGGGUACGGGCAGACUAGAGUGCGGUAGGGGUGACUGGAAUUCCUGGUGUAGCGGUGGAAUGCGCAGAUAUCAGGAGGAACACCGAUGGCGAAGGCAGGUCACUGGGCCGCAACUGACGCUGAGGAGCGAAAGCAUGGGGAGCGAACAGGAUUAGAUACCCUGGUAGUCCAUGCCGUAAACGUUGGGCACUAGGUGUGGGGCUCAUUCCACGAGUUCCGUGCCGCAGCAAACGCAUUAAGUGCCCCGCCUGGGGAGUACGGCCGCAAGGCUAAAACUCAAAGAAAUUGACGGGGGCCCGCACAAGCGGCGGAGCAUGCGGAUUAAUUCGAUGCAACGCGAAGAACCUUACCAAGGCUUGACAUGCACCGGUAACACUCAGAGAUGGGUGCCCCGCAAGGUCGGUGUACAGGUGGUGCAUGGUUGUCGUCAGCUCGUGUCGUGAGAUGUUGGGUUAAGUCCCGCAACGAGCGCAACCCUCGU
This 1028-nucleotide ribosomal RNA is filed under the name bacterium. Its description in RNAcentral is "bacterial SSU rRNA". It matches the Rfam family "Bacterial small subunit ribosomal RNA", at positions 67 to 1108 of the family's 1533-position model. The record is from RNAcentral.